This 496-nucleotide ribosomal RNA is filed under the name uncultured bacterium. Its description in RNAcentral is "partial 16S ribosomal RNA". It matches the Rfam family "Bacterial small subunit ribosomal RNA", at positions 28 to 506 of the family's 1533-position model. The record is from RNAcentral.
GAUGAACGCUGGCGGCGUGCCUAAUACAUGCAAGUCGAGCGAACGGACGAGAAGCUUGCUUCUCUGAUGUUAGCGGCGAACGGGUGGGUAACACGUGGAUAACCUACCUAUAAGACUGGGAUAACUUCGGGAAACCGGAGCUAAUACCGGAUAAUAUUUUGAACCGCAUGGUUCAAAAGUGAAAGACGGUCUUGCUGUCACUUAUAGAUGGAUCCGCGCUGCAUUAGCUAGUUGGUAAGGUAACGGCUUACCAAGGCAACGAUGCAUAGCCGACCUGAGAGGGUGAUCGGCCACACUGGAACUGAGACACGGUCCAGACUCCUACGGGAGGCAGCAGUAGGGAAUCUUCCGCAAUGGGCGAAAGCCUGACGGAGCAACGCCGCGUGAGUGAUGAAGGUCUUCGGAUCGUAAAACGCUGUUAUUAGGGAAGAACAUAUGUGUAAGUAACUGUGCACAUCUUGACGGUACCUAAGCAGAAAGCCACGGCUAACUACGU